This 472-nucleotide ribosomal RNA is filed under the name uncultured eukaryote. RNAcentral's name for it is "bacterial SSU rRNA". It matches the Rfam family "Eukaryotic small subunit ribosomal RNA", at positions 13 to 465 of the family's 1831-position model. The record is from RNAcentral.
CCUGACGGUAGUCGUAUGCUCGUCUCCGAGACUAAGCCAUGCAAGUCCAAGUACACGUCCUUGAACGACGGAAACUGCGAACGGCUCAUUAAAUCAGUUGCGAUCUACUCGGCGUUCCGCGCCGCCGGAUAACCGUAGUAAUUCUAGGGCUAAUACGUGCGAAGCGCCCGAAGCCGCGAGGCGACGGGCGUUCUCGCCGGAUGUAGGAACCGACCCGGGGACCGCCGGGGCAACCCGGCGCCCCCGAGACGGGGCGAACCACGGUGAAAUGACGGAUCGUCGGCCCCGCGCCGGCGACUCGCCGAAUGAGUUUCUGACCUAUCAACUCGAGACGGCGGGGUAGAGGCCCGCCGCGGUAACGACGGGUAACGGGGAAUCAGGGUUCGAUUCCGGAGAGGGAGCCCGAGAACGGCUACCACUUCCAAGGAAGGCAGCAGGCGCGCAACUUACCCUAAUCUCGAUUCGAGGAGGU